CUCAACGACUCAGAUUGGAAGCAGAGUGGGUAGACUCUGUUUGUCUCCACUUUCUCUUGUGGCUCCUCACGGCUCAUAAGCAUCAGAAAAGGGAGGAGGAGGAGCACAACUACCAGAGACCCUCGUAAGAAAGCCCCCGAGUACUCAAUUUUGGUGCCAACCCGAGGGCGAGCCUGGACCAACUAGACUAUAUAAAAGUGAAAACGCACGUUUACCGUCACUUGCAGACCAAGACCUCAGACUCCAGACAACGCUGGAUCCAGAAGUGAAUCACAGAAUCAUAGACUUCUAGAGGUUGGAAUAGACCUCUAGAGAUCAAGUCCAACCCCUCUGCUAAAGAACAUUGCCUACAGCAAGUCACACAGGGAGGUAUCCAGA
This is a long non-coding RNA of Gallus gallus (chicken), 378 nucleotides long. Lineage: Eukaryota; Metazoa; Chordata; Aves; Galliformes; Phasianidae. The record is from Ensembl.